AGGAUCAUUGUCGAAACCUACCUAGCAGAAUGACCCAUGAAUCUGUGAUUGUUCUGGGGGGAUUGAAGGUUGUGCUUGUGCAGCUGUCGUUCUCCCUCGUCGGGAAGCAUGCGCGUGCCUUAAUCCCCCUUGUGGGAGGGUGGUUCGUGGAAGCUCUCCUCGAUCAGACAACGAACCCCGAGGCGAAAUCGCCCCAAGGAACUCAAAAUGUAGACCUUGCUCCCUUUGCCCCGGAAACGAUGUGUGUGGGGAAGCAAUGUUGUCUUUUGUAACCAAUAAUGACUCUCGGCAACGGAUAUCUCGGCUCUUGCAUCGAUGAAGAACGUAGCGAAAUGUGAUACUUGGUGUGAAUUGCAGAAUCCCGUGAACCAUCGAGUCUUUGAACGCAAGUUGCGCCCAAAGCCAUUAGGUCGAGGGCACGUCUGCCUGGGCGUCACAUAACGUUGGCCCCCAAACACACAUAGCAUGAUGCGUGGGGGUGGAUAUUGGCCUCCCGUGUGCUGUAGUGAUUGCGGUUGGCCAGAAAACGAGUCAACGGCGAUGAGCGCCAUGACAAGCGGUGGUUGAGAGACCGUCUGAGUCGAAUCGUGUGCGUUCGUUGACCAAUGGGAGCUCAUUGACCCUACUGCAUCGUCUGGACGAUGCUCUUGUAGCGACCCCAGGUCAGGCGGGGCUACCCGCUGAGUUUAAGCAUAUCAAUA
RNAcentral lists this ribosomal RNA (701 nucleotides) under Turpinia paniculata. Its description in RNAcentral is "eukaryotic LSU rRNA". The stretch from base 281 to 436 matches the Rfam family "5.8S ribosomal RNA". The record is from RNAcentral. Lineage: Eukaryota; Viridiplantae; Streptophyta; Magnoliopsida; Crossosomatales; Staphyleaceae.